This 556-nucleotide ribosomal RNA is filed under the name uncultured bacterium. Its description in RNAcentral is "partial 16S ribosomal RNA". It matches the Rfam family "Bacterial small subunit ribosomal RNA", at positions 355 to 895 of the family's 1533-position model. The record is from RNAcentral.
UGGGGAAUAUUGCACAAUGGGCGCAAGCCUGAUGCAGCCAUGCCGCGUGUGUGAAGAAGGCCUUCGGGUUGCAAAGCACUUUCAGCGAGGAGGAAGGUGGUGAGCUUAAUACGCUCAUCAAUUGACGUUACUCGCAGAAGAAGCACCGGCUAACUCCGUGCCAGCAGCCGCGGUAAUACGGAGGGUGCAAGCGUUAAUCGGAAUUACUGGGCGUAAAGCGCACGCAGGCGGUUUGUUAAGUCAGAUGUGAAAUCCCCCGGGCUCAACCUGGGAACUGCAUUUGAAACUGGCAAGCUAGAGUCUCGUAGAGGGGGGUAGAAUUCCAGGUGUAGCGGUGAAAUGCGUAGAGAUCUGGAGGAAUACUGGUGGCGAAGGGCGGCCCCCCUGGACGAAGACUGACGCUCAGGUGCGAAAGCGUGGGGAGCAAAACAGGAUUAGAUACCCCUGGUAGUCCACGCUGUAAAACGAUGUCGAUUUUGGAGGUUGUGCCCCUUGAGGCGUGGCUUCCGGAGCUAACGCGUUAAAUCGACCGCCUGGGGAGUACGGCCGCAAGGUU